Long non-coding RNA from Salvia miltiorrhiza (redroot sage), 1741 nucleotides. RefSeq lists it as uncharacterized. The record is from RefSeq and is a predicted model, not a curated record. The transcript is spliced from 3 exons. NCBI's taxonomy places the organism in Eukaryota, Viridiplantae, Streptophyta, Magnoliopsida, Lamiales, Lamiaceae.
ACCAUCGCAUACAACCUCGCCGCCGCUGUGAGCCUCCGGUCCGCCGCGCUUCACCGUUGCUCUUAGUCUUUUUUCCGAUCGCCGCCUCCCCUCUUCGAAGGCCGGUUGAGGUCACCCGACAAGUUAAACACUUCGAAGAGAACCAUUCCGUUCGAUUUCUCGCUUAAUUAGUCGGGCAGAGAAGCUUGAAGGUGAUCUAUCAAGGUCGCCGCCGUCGACUGGAAUUUCAUAAUUUCCUCCGCAUAUGGGUACGCCUAUGAUAUUAUAUUCAAAUUUCAGGAGAUUAUAUUUUGUUUUCAGUAUGAAUAUGCUACAAAAUAGUUUGCGAUUUUAUGGUAUUUGAUGGUUUGUAUUUCUCAUUGCUCAAUAUCUAAGAUUAUCAAUCCCAAUAAUAAACUAAGAUAUAGAUUCAGACUCUCUCAAAAUUAUAUCUCCAUAACUUCUCUCAAGAACAUAAACUUUGCAGCAUGAAUUUUAAACAUUUAUUUGUUUCCAAAUUGGAUGUCCUAUCACCUUGUAAGUAAAAAAUAUGCAUGAGAUGUUUUACGGGUCGAUAUCUAAAUAUAAAUCGAUAGUAAAUUAUAUAUUUAUAAAUUUACUAGCAGCUAGAACAUAGUACAUAUUAUUGAAUGUGGCUUAAUUGUGUAAUUUAUCAAAAUAAAAUUAGUAAGGCAUAGUUAUAUUUUAAUUUAUUUUUUGAGAGAAAAAAAGGCAUAAUUUAAUUCAAAAUUUUGUGCUCCAAUUAUAUUCGGGAAAACAUAAAAAGUUGAGAGGUGAAAAUUCAUGUGAGGGGCAGGAGCACAUCUCACGAUUUUGGGUUACAAUUUUCUAGAGAGUAGCAAUAUUGAGUGGCCUUUGUCAGUUUGAGGAAGACAAUUGAGAUGAUUGUAAUUAAUACACUGUGAAGUAAACUAUACUAGAAUUUUGGAUGUUGAUUUCAAUGGUAUAUAUAUAUUUUUUUGUUUAGUGUAUAAUUCAUCACUAUCCUUUUUUCUGUAAUCGUCGGAUACCUACCAUAUUCUUGAUGUAUAGUCUUGAUACGAAGAGAGAAGAAAAGAGUCGGUUUUACACUUUACCUUUACCUGGUAGGUUGCAUGAAACAAUAAGUACUAUAAUUCGACGCUCUAAGAAGUAGAAACUUAAGAAAUAGUUCUAUUUGCUUAUAUAUAUAUGUAUAUAUAUUUAUUUUAUAUAUAUGUCUUUGUGUCAUGUUACGAGAAGGCUGCUGAUAUUCUUCCAUCUCAUUUUGCCGCUGAUGGAAGAAAGAGUUUGCUUCAAAUUCUUGCCCAUGUAGUUUUUUUUUCCACGGGAGUCAUGUAGUUUUUUUGCUGUUUUUUUGGGGGUCUUUUUUUUUGUUAUCUACUUAAUUAUGGGUUUAAUUUAUCAUUUUUGCUUAACCCCUUUGAGCUCCUAAGAGACCUCCUAUCAUCAUGUUUGGAGUUUUCUAAUUUCUUAGCACUGGCAUAUAUAUUACAAGAGGCAUAUAUAUUGUUUAUUUCAUACUGCACACACACAUAUAUAUAUAUGAUUGAGUUUUGUAAUCGCAGUUGCAUUUCAUUUUUAUCAACACUUACAUAUAUGACACAUUCAAAUGAUCGAGCAUUAUAUAUUUAUGAAAUUUGGUGUGCCUAUUAUUGUAUAUGGUUGUGGGGUGGAUUUAGGCUUUGAUGAGGAAUCAAAAAAUGAGAUUCAUACCAAGAAUUUCUAUUAGUAGAAGAAAAUUGAUCUCAUGUAGUAUAUU